This 360-nucleotide unclassified non-coding RNA is filed under the name Hevea brasiliensis (rubber tree). Lineage: Eukaryota; Viridiplantae; Streptophyta; Magnoliopsida; Malpighiales; Euphorbiaceae. The record is from RNAcentral.
GUACCCUCUCAAGCAUCAAGCGGUAUUCAUGUGGGACUCAAUCCUCCUGCUAAACAAAAUUCUUGUCGCAAUAACAAUAUGAAUGGGGACCACAUUCAGCUUUCUUCUGUGUCCAGUGAGAUUCCAUUUGGCGAGGCACAAAUUUCAGAUGGGGACUUCAAAAAUGCCAGUGUAUUAGAUGGGUACUCGACUCUCGGUUCACAAUCGUCAUCAAUAUCAUUUUCUUCAGCUCAUCCUAAUAGCAACCGCGGGUGGCGGAUCCAUAGUUCGCCUUCUAAUACUUGUUCUGUUAGUAGAUUGACAAGUAAUCUACCCGAUAUGUGCAUUCUGGGCUCUGAGUCAAAGACAGGGGCAUUGCCU